CUUAUGUAACGAUGCACAUUUGAAGUAUUUCCUACCCAUCUCUGCUACACACCGAUAUCGAGUUCCCCAGAACUCGUCCAUCCAAUAACACAACAUUUAUGGACAAGCCACGACAUAGAUGCCGAAAAGGCCACAUAACACAUUGUGGACAAGCCACAACAUAAUUGUUGAUAAUGACCACAUAAUUGCAAUUAAGCUGUCACACAACUUCCUCAUUUCACAA
RNAcentral lists this long non-coding RNA (223 nucleotides) under Gossypium barbadense (sea-island cotton). Its description in RNAcentral is "long non-coding RNA (GBAR_LNC020925)". Lineage: Eukaryota; Viridiplantae; Streptophyta; Magnoliopsida; Malvales; Malvaceae. The record is from RNAcentral.